Molecule: non-coding RNA, 196 nt
Organism: Arachis ipaensis
Lineage: Eukaryota; Viridiplantae; Streptophyta; Magnoliopsida; Fabales; Fabaceae
Source: RefSeq, a predicted model, not a curated record
UUCAGAAAAAAUGGCAGGCAGAAACCAAGCUGAAAAAAAUCAAAUCAAGGACCUAAAGUGUGCAACCCAUCUGUUGAGUGAGAAAUUCAGAAAUAUGAGCGAGGAGAAGUGAUGCAAUAAGACUGUCCAGGCCAUCCUCAUUGUUAUUGAGUCCAUUUUGUCAGAUAGAUUCUAAUGAUAUUGUCACUGAUUAAUG